UUGCAUAUCCCUCUUAGCGGAGGAAAAGAAACCAACAGGGAUUGCCUCAGUAACGGCGAGUGAAGCGGCAAAAGCUCAAAUUUGAAACCCUCGGGAUUGUAAUUUGAAGAUUUGGCAUUGGAGAAAGCUAACCCAAGUUGCUUGGAAUAGUACGUCAUAGAGGGUGACAACCCCGUCUGGCUAACCGUUCUCCAUGUAUUGCCUUAUCAAAGAGUCGAGUUGUUUGGGAAUGCAGCUCAAAGUGGGUGGUAAACUCCAUCUAAAGCUAAAUACUGGUGAGAGACCGAUAGCGAACAAGUACUGUGAAGGAAAGGUGAAAAGAACUUUGAAAAGAGAGUGAAAUAGUAUGUGAAAUUGUUGAUAGGGAAGGAAAUGAGUGGAGAGUGGCCGAGGUUUCAGCCGCCCCUCGUGGGCGGUGUACUGCCGACGCCGAGUCAUCGAUAGCGAGACGAGGGUUACAAAUGGGAGCGCCUUCGGGCGUUCUCCCCUAACCCUCCACACUGCCACUCGACGACAUCUCGG
Molecule: ribosomal RNA, 522 nt
Filed under: Yarrowia lipolytica
Lineage: Eukaryota; Fungi; Ascomycota; Dipodascomycetes; Dipodascales
Description: partial large subunit ribosomal RNA
Rfam family: Eukaryotic large subunit ribosomal RNA
Source: RNAcentral